Galeopterus variegatus (Sunda flying lemur) is the source of this 1274-nucleotide RNA transcript. It is a transcript of the gene named glutamine synthetase pseudogene, with no coding region annotated. NCBI's taxonomy places the organism in Eukaryota, Metazoa, Chordata, Mammalia, Dermoptera, Cynocephalidae. The transcript has a single exon. The record is from RefSeq and is a predicted model, not a curated record.
GCAGAGCCGAGAAUGGGAGACGAGUGAGUCGUCUGAGCAGCACCCCGGCCUCCUCGCCGCUCUCGCCUCGCUCUCGUGGCCUGCCCGCCCGCCCACCCGCUUGCUUGCCACCCAGAAUACCUUCCACCAUGGCCACCUCAGCAAGUUCCCACUUGAAUAAAGGCAUCAAGCAGGUGUACAUGUCCCUGCCUCAGGGCGAGAAGGUCCAAGCUAUGUAUAUCUGGAUCGAUGGCACUGGAGAAGGACUGCGCUGCAAGACCCGUACCCUGGACUGUGAGCCCAAGUGUGUAGAAGAGUUGCCUGAGUGGAAUUUUGAUGGCUCUAGUACUUUUCAGUCUGAAGGCUCCAACAGUGACAUGUAUCUCGUGCCUGCUGCCAUGUUUCGGGACCCCUUCCGCAAGGACCCCAACAAGCUGGUGUUCUGUGAAGUUUUCAAGUACAACCGAAAGCCUGCAGAGACCAAUUUAGGACACACCUGUAAACGGACAAUGGACAUGGUAGGCAAUCAGCGCCCCUGGUUUGGAAUGGAGCAAGAAUACACCCUCAUGGGGACAGAUGGGCACCCCUUCGGUUGGCCUUCCAACGGCUUCCCUGGGCCCCAAGGUCCAUAUUACUGUGGUGUGGGAGCAGACAGAGUCUAUGGCAGGGAUAUCGUGGAGGCUCACUACCGGGCCUGCUUGUAUGCUGGAGUCAAGAUUGCAGGGACGAAUGCUGAGGCCAUGCCUGCCCAGUGGGAAUUCCAAAUAGGACCGUGUGAAGGUAUCAGCAUGGGAGAUCAUCUCUGGGUGGCCCGCUUCAUCUUGCAUCGUGUAUGUGAAGACUCUGGAGUGAUAGCAACCUUUGAUCCCAAGCCCAUUCCUGGAAACUGGAAUGGUGCAGGCUGCCAUACCAACUUCAGCACCAAGGCCACACGGGAGGAGAAUGGUCUGAAGUACAUUGAGGAGGCCAUUGAAAAGCUAAGUAAGUGGCACCAGUACCACAUUCGUGCCUACAACCCCAAGGGGGCCUGGACAAUGCCUGGAACCUAACUGGAUUCCAGGAAACCUCCAACAUCAACGACUUCUCUGCUGGCGUAGCCAACUGUGGCGCCAGCAUCCGCAUUCCCUGGGCUGUCAGCCAGGAGAGAAGGGGCUACUUUGAAGACCGUCACCCCUCUGCCAACUGCGACCCCUUUGCGGUGACAGAAGCCCUCAUCCGCACAUGUCUUCUCAAUGAAACCGGCGACGAGCCCUUCCAAUACAAACACUAAGUGGACUAGACUCCAGCCGUCAAAC